Bos taurus (domestic cattle) is the source of this 663-nucleotide long non-coding RNA. The record is from Ensembl. NCBI's taxonomy places the organism in Eukaryota, Metazoa, Chordata, Mammalia, Artiodactyla, Bovidae.
AUUCAAACCUCACAGGCCUCAGUCACACCUGGGCCUUUAUCCCAAGAGAGACCAGGAGCCAAUGAAGGAUUGAAAUGGUCAGUGGAGGAAGAAGUUUGGAUCAUCAACAAGGUCCCUCCCAGCUGAGCAUCACUCCAGAGAAACAUCAUGAUGGAGGCAUGCCUCGGCUCCUGCCUGGCCCUACUCCCCACCUGCAUCUUACUGCAUCCUCUGGAAAAGGUGGAUGAUCCUGAAACACAAGGGCCUACAUUCCUGCAUGGUGAUAACUGGCUGGAGCAGGGUAAGUGCUUCCUCCCAAGAUCAUCACAGCCCCACCGCUGGACCACACUGAGACUCCCUGGGGCAGCCAUGGGAUGUUUAAUUCUUCCUGGGUGGGCUCACUACAUGCCUGCAGGCCUCAUUCCUUCCAGGACAGCAGCUGGUACAUUUCCCCCAGGGGAAUGUGCUCUGGAGGGAGGGAUGCCAUCUCUCCCAUUCUUCCAUUAUUUGUGGGUGCAGGGCUCUCUCUGCUCUGAUGUGGGCUAUUAAUUAAUCCUGGGCAGCAUAAUUAGCCACCAAGGUCUCAGGUCACAGGAGGUGCAAGUCUCUGUUCUCUGCCCUGGUGCCCCACACGGGGAGUGCCUGCGUGUGCAGUCGUGUCCAACUCUGCGACCCCAUGGACUG